UUGAUCGGUAGAGGAGCAUUGCAUGCGGGAUGAAGCAGUACCGUAAGGAGCUGUGGACUGCAUGGAAGAGAGAAUGCCGGAAUGAGUAGCGAGAUAGAGGUGAGAAUCCUCUAGGCCGAAUAUCCAAGGUUUCCAGGGUAAAGCUGAUCUGCCCUGGGUAAGUCGGGGCCUAAGGUAAGGACGAGAGUCGUAGCCGAUGGACAACAGGUGGAGGUUCCUGUACUAUGAUAUGACAGAACUGUGGGGACACGUGCAGAGAGCGGAAGCCGGGAAUGGGAUCCCGGUGCAAGCCAGGUACCAGCCGCAUUGGAAAAACCGUGCGGCAAUGGGAAGACGUGAUGCGGAGUGAAGUUUAGUAAUGAAGUCCGUGAGCUGUGCGUCAAGAAAAGCCGCUAUUGUUCAUACCAUACCCGUACCGUAAACCGACACAGGUGGAUGAGGAGAGAAUCCUAAGGCCGGCGGAAGAAGCAUUGUCAAGGAACUCGGCAAAAUGACCCCGUAACUUCGGGAGAAGGGGUGCCUGCGAGAGCAGGCCGCAGAGAAUAGGCUCAAGCAACUGUUUAGCAAAAACACAGGUCUAUGCGAAACCGAAAGGUGAGGUAUAUGGGCUGACGCCUGCCCGGUGCUGGAAGGUUAAGAGGAGAGGUUAGCGGUAACGCGAAGCUUUGAAUUUAAGCCCCAGUAAACGGCGGCCGUAACAAUAACGGUCCUAAGGUAGCGAAAUUCCUUGUCGGGUAAGUUCCGACCCGCACGAAAGGCGUAAUGAUUUGAGCGCUGUCUCGACAAUGCAUCCGGUGAAAUUGAAGUACCAGUGAAGAUGCUGGUUACCUGCGCCAGGACGGAAAGACCCCAUGGAGCUUUACUCCAGUUUGGUACUGGGAUCCGGUACUGCAUGUACAGGAUAGGUGGGAGGCUAUGAAUCGGUAACGCCAGUUGCCGAGGAGCCGCUGUUGGGAUACCACCCUUGCAGUAUUGGGUUUCUAACCAGCCGCCGUGACCCGGCGGUGGGACAAUGCCAGACGGGGAGUUUGACUGGGGCGGUCGCCUCCGAAAGGGUAUCGGAGGCGCCCAAAGGUUCCCUCAGGAUGGACGGAAACCAUCCAAAGAGUGCAAAGGCAGAAGGGAGCUUGACUGCGACACCGACGGGUGGAGCAGGUACGAAAGUAGGGCUUAGUGAUCCGGUGGUAUUAAGUGGGAAUGCCAUCGCUCAACGGAUAAAAGCUACCCUGGGAUAACAGGCUUAUCACUCCCAAGAGUUCACAUCGACGGAGUGGUUUGGCACCUCGAUGUCGGCUCAUCGCAUCCUGGGGCUGUAGUAGGUCCCAAGGGUUGGGCUGUUCGCCCAUUAAAGCGGUACGCGAGCUGGGUUCAGAACGUCGUGAGACAGUUCGGUCCCUAUCCGGCGUGGGCGUAGGAUAUCUGAGAGGAGCUGUCCUUAGUACGAGAGGACCGGGAUGGACGGGCCGCUGGUGCACCGGUUAGACUGCCAAGUCUAUAGCCGGGUAGCCAAGCCCGGAAGGGAUAAACGCUGAAGGCAUCUAAGCGUGAAGCCCCCCUCGAGAUGAGAUAUCCCAUCCGAAAGGAGUAAACCCCCUUGAAGACGACGAGGUCGAUAGGGCAGAGGUGGAAGUGUGGUAACACAUGGAGCUGACUGCUACUAAUAGGGUGAGGGCUUGAUC
This 1679-nucleotide ribosomal RNA is filed under the name metagenome. RNAcentral's name for it is "bacterial LSU rRNA". It matches the Rfam family "Bacterial large subunit ribosomal RNA", at positions 1221 to 2925 of the family's 2925-position model. The record is from RNAcentral.